Molecule: long non-coding RNA, 610 nt
Organism: Salvia splendens (bonfire salvia)
Lineage: Eukaryota; Viridiplantae; Streptophyta; Magnoliopsida; Lamiales; Lamiaceae
Exons: 4
Source: RefSeq, a predicted model, not a curated record
UAAGAAAAAUCGCCCCACUCCCUUUCCCACGUUGAAACCGCCUCUCUCUCCACUCACUCCAUAAAUCUCUCCUACAUCUAAACCAAAUCACCUCCUCUCUAUACGUUCAUCAAUCAAUUUUCCUAUUUUUCCCAUCUCUGCAACAAGAUCUCAUUUCUCUGAAAUCCACGACAAACCUUGAAGAAUUGCCGAAUUCUCAAUCCAGUCUCAACCGUGGUUCAAAGAAUCUCCCUUUUCACCCUUGUGAACUCCACAACCAAGUCCAAUUAACGGAGGUGAGACUUCGCAAGGGAAUCGAGAUACCAAAGGGAAGGAAGUGUAGAGAAUUAAGCAAUUGAGGUUGAGCGGCGACGAGGAUGUGGUGGUGUUGAGCAAGUGAAUUUAAGAUAUUAUUAUUAUCUCUGAACCUUGAGAGUCGUUGUGUCCUCACACAUGGCGUCACUCUUUCUCUUGGUCGUUUCCGCUGUGACUUUUCAAUUAUUCAUGUUUUAUUUGGGCCGACAGCUUUAAUUGUUAGGAUAAUGGCUUUUCCGAAUUUCUUGUUGGAUAAUAUUAAACUCUUGGUUAUUUAAUUGGAUAUUAAUAGUUGGUCCAACUUGUGUUGAAAUCC